CAGGGUAUAGACCCGAAACCCGGUGAUCUAGCCAUGGGCAGGUUGAAGGUUGGGUAACACUAACUGGAGGACCGAACCGACUAAUGUUGAAAAAUUAGCGGAUGACUUGUGGCUGGGGGUGAAAGGCCAAUCAAACCGGGAGAUAGCUGGUUCUCCCCGAAAGCUAUUUAGGUAGCGCCUCGUGAAUUCAUCUCCGGGGGUAGAGCACUGUUUCGGCAAGGGGGUCAUCCCGACUUACCAACCCGAUGCAAACUGCGAAUACCGGAGAAUGUUAUCACGGGAGACACACGGCGGGUGCUAACGUCCGUCGUGAAGAGGGAAACAACCCAGACCGCCAGCUAAGGUCCCAAAGUCAUGGUUAAGUGGGAAACGAUGUGGGAAGGCCCAGACAGCCAGGAUGUUGGCUUAGAAGCAGCCAUCAUUUAAAGAAAGCGUAAUAGCUCACUGGUCGAGUCGGCCUGCGCGGAAGAUGUAACGGGGCUAAACCAUGCACCGAAGCUGCGGCAGCGACACUAUGUGUUGUUGGGUAGGGGAGCGUUCUGUAAGCCUGUGAAGGUGGCCUGUGAGGGUUGCUGGAGGUAUCAGAAGUGCGAAUGCUGACAUAAGUAACGAUAAAGCGGGUGAAAAGCCCGCUCGCCGGAAGACCAAGGGUUCCUGUCCAACGUUAAUCGGGGCAGGGUGAGUCGACCCCUAAGGCGAGGCCGAAAGGCGUAGUCGAUGGGAAACAGGUUAAUAUUCCUGUACUUGGUGUUACUGCGAAGGGGGGACGGAGAAGGCUAUGUUGGCCGGGCGACGGUUGUCCCGGUUUAAGCGUGUAGGCUGGUUUUCCAGGCAAAUCCGGAAAACCAAGGCUGAGGCGUGAUGACGAGGCACUACGGUGCUGAAGCGACAAAUGCCCUGCUUCCAGGAAAAGCCUCUAAGCAUCAGGUAACAUCAAAUCGUACCCCAAACCGACACAGGUGGUCAGGUAGAGAAUACCAAGGCGCUUGAGAGAACUCGGGUGAAGGAACUAGGCAAAAUGGUGCCGUAACUUCGGGAGAAGGCACGCUGAUAUGUAGGUGAAGCGACUUGCUCGUGGAGCUGAAAUCAGUCGAAGAUACCAGCUGGCUGCAACUGUUUAUUAAAAACACAGCACUGUGCAAACACGAAAGUGGACGUAUACGGUGUGACGCCUGCCCGGUGCCGGAAGGUUAAUUGAUGGGGUUAGCGGUAACGCGAAGCUCUUGAUCGAAGCCCCGGUAAACGGCGGCCGUAACUAUAACGGUCCUAAGGUAGCGAAAUUCCUUGUCGGGUAAGUUCCGACCUGCACGAAUGGCGUAAUGAUGGCCAGGCUGUCUCCACCCGAGACUCAGUGAAAUUGAACUCGCUGUGAAGAUGCAGUGUACCCGCGGCAAGACGGAAAGACCCCGUGAACCUUUACUAUAGCUUGACACUGAACAUUGAGCCUUGAUGUGUAGGAUAGGUGGGAGGCUUUGAAGUGUGGACGCCAGUCUGCAUGGAGCCGACCUUGAAAUACCACCCUUUAAUGUUUGAUGUUCUAACGUUGGCCCGUAAUCCGGGUUGCGGACAGUGUCUGGUGGGUAGUUUGACUGGGGCGGUCUCCUCCUAAAGAGUAACGGAGGAGCACGAAGGUUGGCUAAUCCUGGUCGGACAUCAGGAGGUUAGUGCAAUGGCAUAAGCCAGCUUGACUGCGAGCGUGACGGCGCGAGCAGGUGCGAAAGCAGGUCAUAGUGAUCCGGUGGUUCUGAAUGGAAGGGCCAUCGCUCAACGGAUAAAAGGUACUCCGGGGAUAACAGGCUGAUACCGCCCAAGAGUUCAUAUCGACGGCGGUGUUUGGCACCUCGAUGUCGGCUCAUCACAUCCUGGGGCUGAAGUAGGUCCCAAGGGUAUGGCUGUUCGCCAUUUAAAGUGGUACGCGAGCUGGGUUUAGAACGUCGUGAGACAGUUCGGUCCCUAUCUGCCGUGGGCGCUGGAGAACUGAGGGGGGCUGCUCCUAGUACGAGAGGACCGGAGUGGACGCAUCACUGGUGUUCGGGUUGUCAUGCCAAUGGCACUGCCCGGUAGCUAAAUGCGGAAGAGAUAAGUGCUGAAAGCAUCUAAGCACGAAACUUGC
Molecule: ribosomal RNA, 2113 nt
Filed under: Escherichia coli
Lineage: Bacteria; Pseudomonadati; Pseudomonadota; Gammaproteobacteria; Enterobacterales; Enterobacteriaceae
Description: partial 23S ribosomal RNA
Rfam family: Bacterial large subunit ribosomal RNA
Source: RNAcentral